This is a long non-coding RNA of Phycodurus eques (leafy seadragon), 428 nucleotides long. RefSeq lists it as uncharacterized. The transcript has 4 exons. The record is from RefSeq and is a predicted model, not a curated record. Lineage: Eukaryota; Metazoa; Chordata; Actinopteri; Syngnathiformes; Syngnathidae.
ACAAAUAAAAACGCUUUGGUACUAGAAAUGUAUUGCGCCAAGGCAAGAAAAAUAUUCCUGCGACUGACAGGAAUGACGCCUUAGAUCAUGGGGAAUAAAGGAUGACGCUCCGAGCCUAUCGCUUUGUUCCAAAGAUCGACGAACUCCGGCAAAGACAAAGGAAUUCAACACCCCCGGGUCGAGUGUCUUUUAGGAUUGGGAAGAAGAAGAGUAAUAUGUUAUGCAUCCAGCAGACGUUCGACUCCCAUUCCAGUACGCAGUGCAGACAAAAAAAGAAGUAGUGACUGGUUUCAAGGAGAAUGACAACCAAACAAGAUCCUAUUCAAUGCCAACAGAAGAAUAAAAUAAGGUGUGGAUACAAUUUUGCUAGAUUUUAUGCGCAAGGUAAUAAAAACCUGGACUAUUGAGCAAAUCGUAGAGGAGGAGAA